Molecule: ribosomal RNA, 1540 nt
Filed under: Staphylococcus aureus
Lineage: Bacteria; Bacillati; Bacillota; Bacilli; Caryophanales; Staphylococcaceae
Description: 16S ribosomal RNA
Rfam family: Bacterial small subunit ribosomal RNA
Source: RNAcentral
AGAGUUUGAUCCUGGCUCAGGAUGAACGCUGGCGGCGUGCCUAAUACAUGCAAGUCGAGCGAACGGACGAGAAGCUUGCUUCUCUGAUGUUAGCGGCGGACGGGUGAGUAACACGUGGAUAACCUACCUAUAAGACUGGGAUAACUUCGGGAAACCGGAGCUAAUACCGGAUAAUAUUUUGAACCGCAUGGUUCAAAAGUGAAAGACGGUCUUGCUGUCACUUAUAGAUGGAUCCGCGCUGCAUUAGCUAGUUGGUAAGGUAACGGCUUACCAAGGCAACGAUGCAUAGCCGACCUGAGAGGGUGAUCGGCCACACUGGAACUGAGACACGGUCCAGACUCCUACGGGAGGCAGCAGUAGGGAAUCUUCCGCAAUGGGCGAAAGCCUGACGGAGCAACGCCGCGUGAGUGAUGAAGGUCUUCGGAUCGUAAAACUCUGUUAUUAGGGAAGAACAUAUGUGUAAGUAACUGUGCACAUCUUGACGGUACCUAAUCAGAAAGCCACGGCUAACUACGUGCCAGCAGCCGCGGUAAUACGUAGGUGGCAAGCGUUAUCCGGAAUUAUUGGGCGUAAAGCGCGCGUAGGCGGUUUUUUAAGUCUGAUGUGAAAGCCCACGGCUCAACCGUGGAGGGUCAUUGGAAACUGGAAAACUUGAGUGCAGAAGAGGAAAGUGGAAUUCCAUGUGUAGCGGUGAAAUGCGCAGAGAUAUGGAGGAACACCAGUGGCGAAGGCGACUUUCUGGUCUGUAACUGACGCUGAUGUGCGAAAGCGUGGGGAUCAAACAGGAUUAGAUACCCUGGUAGUCCACGCCGUAAACGAUGAGUGCUAAGUGUUAGGGGGUUUCCGCCCCUUAGUGCUGCAGCUAACGCAUUAAGCACUCCGCCUGGGGAGUACGACCGCAAGGUUGAAACUCAAAGGAAUUGACGGGGACCCGCACAAGCGGUGGAGCAUGUGGUUUAAUUCGAAGCAACGCGAAGAACCUUACCAAAUCUUGACAUCCUUUGACAACUCUAGAGAUAGAGCCUUCCCCUUCGGGGGACAAAGUGACAGGUGGUGCAUGGUUGUCGUCAGCUCGUGUCGUGAGAUGUUGGGUUAAGUCCCGCAACGAGCGCAACCCUUAAGCUUAGUUGCCAUCAUUAAGUUGGGCACUCUAAGUUGACUGCCGGUGACAAACCGGAGGAAGGUGGGGAUGACGUCAAAUCAUCAUGCCCCUUAUGAUUUGGGCUACACACGUGCUACAAUGGACAAUACAAAGGGCAGCGAAACCGCGAGGUCAAGCAAAUCCCAUAAAGUUGUUCUCAGUUCAGAUUGUAGUCUGCAACUCGACUACAUGAAGCUGGAAUCGCUAGUAAUCGUAGAUCAGCAUGCUACGGUGAAUACGUUCCCGGGUCUUGUACACACCGCCCGUCACACCACGAGAGUUUGUAACACCCGAAGCCGGUGGAGUAACCUUUUAGGAGCUAGCCGUCGAAGGUGGGACAAAUGAUUGGGGUGAAGUCGUAACAAGGUAGCCGUAUCGGAAGGUGCGGCUGGAUCACCU